GGCGAUCAGAUACCGCCCUAGUUCUGACCGUAAACGAUGCCAACUAGCGAUCCGCCAGUCGACUCAUCGCUCUGGUGGGGAGCUUCCCGGAAACGAAAGUCUUCCGGUUCCGGGGGAAGUAUGGUUGCAAAGCUGAAACUUAAAGGAAUUGACGGAAGGGCACCACCAGGAGUGGAGCCUGCGGCUUAAUUUGACUCAACACGGGGAAACUCACCCGGCCCGGACACCGUAAGGAUUGACAGAUUGAUAGCUUUUUCAUGAUUCGGUGGAUGGUGGUGCAUGGCCGUUCUUAGUUCGUGGAGCGAUUUGUCUGGUUUAUUCCGAUAACGAGCGAGACUCUGGCCUACUAAAUAGUUGACGCAUUGCCACUGUGCGCACAACUUCUUAGAGGGAUUUUCGGCGUUUUCAACCGCACGAAAUUGAGCAAUAACAGGUCUGUGAUGCCCUUAGAUGUCCGGGGCUGCACGCGCGCUACACUGGCAAACGCAACGUGCCUGUCCUGCCCCGAAAGGAGCGGGUAAACCCCUGAAAUUUUGCCGUGAUUGGGAUCGGACAUUGCAACUAUUGUCCGUGAACGAGGAAUUCCUUGUAGGGGCGAGUCAUCAACUCGUCCCGAAUACGUCCCUGCCCUUG
RNAcentral lists this ribosomal RNA (633 nucleotides) under Rotylenchulus reniformis. RNAcentral's name for it is "SSU rRNA". It matches the Rfam family "Eukaryotic small subunit ribosomal RNA", at positions 1003 to 1662 of the family's 1831-position model. Lineage: Eukaryota; Metazoa; Nematoda; Chromadorea; Rhabditida; Hoplolaimidae. The record is from RNAcentral.